RNAcentral lists this small nuclear RNA (168 nucleotides) under Suricata suricatta (meerkat). Its description in RNAcentral is "U2 spliceosomal RNA (ENSSSUG00005002525.1)". The stretch from base 1 to 114 matches the Rfam family "U2 spliceosomal RNA". Rfam says of the family: U2 is a small nuclear RNA (snRNA) component of the spliceosome (involved in pre-mRNA splicing). Complementary binding between U2 snRNA (in an area lying towards the 5' end but 3' to hairpin I) and the branchpoint sequence (BPS) of the intron results the bulging out of an unpaired adenosine, on the BPS, which initiates a nucleophilic attack at the intronic 5' splice site, thus starting the first of two transesterification reactions that mediate splicing. The record is from RNAcentral. Lineage: Eukaryota; Metazoa; Chordata; Mammalia; Carnivora; Herpestidae.
AUCGCUUCUCAGCCUUUUGGCUAAGAUCAAGUGUUGUUUUUACUUCAGCAUGAAUUCUUAUAUAUAUGUAUAUAUAUAUAUAUAUAUAAUUUAUUGUCAAGUUUGCUAACAUACAGUGUAUAGAGUGUGCUCUUGGCUUCAGGAGUAGAGUCAUAUGAUUCAUCGCUU